GGAGAUCGGAGAACUCUGAAUAGCUUUUCUUUUUCUCCGGUGAUUGAGUUUCGCCCCAAUUAAUAGCAGCAAAGAAGAGCCAUAUCUGCGAUCUGGAAGCAUUUCCUGAUUGAAAAUCCAUUAGGUUUCAGGAUUAUUUCGAGUAGGGAGAUUCUCCCAUGCACAAAAGAUGUAUGAUGAGAUGCGUGUUUUAGGAUUCAAACCCGAUACUCACAGUCACACUUAUUGUAUCAUGCUAGAUGGUUUGUGCAAGAAUGGACAUGUUGAAGAAGCUCUGGUGUUUCUUCAAGAACUGGAAAGAAAGAAUGUUGACCUCAGCUGUUCUAUGUAUGAUGUUGUUAUUGUUGGAUUGUGCAAAAAAGGCAAGCUCGAUAUUGCUCAAGAUAUAUUCAAUAAUUGUGUGUUCUGAUGGUUUACAUGUCAACGUGAGGUCGUACAAUACAAUGAUAAAUGGCCUAUGCCGGGAGGGUUUGCUAGACGAAGCAGAAGACUUGAUGAGGAAGAUGGAACAAAAUGGUCUUUCAUCCGAAAAUUUGCUUGUGAUUGUAUUUUGCAAGGAUUUCUUAAAAGGGAUAAGUUACAUGAGGUAUUUCCACUUCUGCAAGAAAUGAUUGAUAAGGGUUUCUCUCCUAAUUCAUAUACAUUUCAGCUGCUGAUAAAUCUACCUUCAGCUGAAUCUACUCUACUCGACAUGAUCCAGAGAUUAAGACCCAACGAUUAUUAGGAUGUGGUUGAGAUUGUCUGAAGAUAAGCAUCAGCCAUCAUGUGUCCUAGGAGGACUUGGGAAGAAGCAGUAAGGUGUAAAUUGUCUUUAUGCAACUCCAAACCCCUGGCAUCAACAGUUACUACAUUUGCAAGGUCAGGAUUUAACUGUGCUUCUCUUACUAUAUCUGUGUAAUUUGUUCCUGAAGCUAGAGCCACC
Molecule: long non-coding RNA, 922 nt
Organism: Solanum stenotomum
Lineage: Eukaryota; Viridiplantae; Streptophyta; Magnoliopsida; Solanales; Solanaceae
Exons: 3
Source: RefSeq, a predicted model, not a curated record